ACAGAGAAGAGUUUGAUCCUGGCUCAGGAUGAACGCUAGCGACAGGCUUAACACAUGCAAGUCGAGGGGUAACAGGGUAGCAAUACCGCUGACGACCGGCGCACGGGUGAGUAACACGUAUGCAACCUGCCCCGUACAUUGGGACAGCCUUCCGAAAGGGAGAUUAAUACCGGAUAAAACAGGGAUGCCGCAUGGCAGUAUUUGUUAAAGGAGCAAUCCGGUACGGGAUGGGCAUGCGGAGGAUUAGAUAGUUGGGAG
This 258-nucleotide ribosomal RNA is filed under the name Dysgonamonadaceae bacterium. Its description in RNAcentral is "partial 16S ribosomal RNA". It matches the Rfam family "Bacterial small subunit ribosomal RNA", at positions 1 to 255 of the family's 1533-position model. The record is from RNAcentral. Lineage: Bacteria; Pseudomonadati; Bacteroidota; Bacteroidia; Bacteroidales; Dysgonomonadaceae.